Molecule: ribosomal RNA, 293 nt
Filed under: uncultured bacterium
Lineage: Bacteria
Description: partial 16S ribosomal RNA
Rfam family: Archaeal small subunit ribosomal RNA
Source: RNAcentral
GUGCCAGCCGCCGCGGUAAUACCGGCAGCCCAAGUGAUGGCCGCUGUUAUUGGGCCUAAAGCGUCCGUAGCUGGCCGCACAAGUCCGUCGGGAAAUCCGCCCGCUCAACGGGCGGCCGUCCGGCGGAACCUGUGUGGCUUGGGACCGGGAGACCUGAGGGGUACGUCCGGGGUAGGAGUGAAAUCCUAUAAUCCUGGACGGACCACCAAUGGGGAAACCACCUCAGGAGGAUGGACCCGACAGUGAGGGACGAAAGCUAGGGUCUCGAACCGGAUUAGAUACCCGAGUAGUCC